GAGUUUGAUCGUGGCUCAGAUUGAACGCUGGCGGCAUGCUUUACACAUGCAAGUCGAACGGCAGCACGGGGUUUACCCUGGUGGCGAGUGGCGAACGGGUGAGGAAUACAUCGGAACGUGUCUAUAAGUGGGGGAUAACGCAUCGAAAGGUGUGCUAAUACCGCAUAAUCUCUCAGGAGAAAAGCAGGGGAUCGCAAGACCUUGCGCUUUAGGAGCGGCCGAUGCCUGAUUAGCUUGUUGGUAAGGUAAAGCUUACCAAGGCUUCGAUCAGUAGCUGGUCUGAGAGGACGACCAGCCACACUGGGACUGAGACACGGCCCAGACUCCUACGGGAGGCAGCAGUGGGGAAUUUUGGACAAUGGGGGAAACCCUGAUCCAGCCAUGCCGCGUGAGUGAAGAAGGCCUUCGGGUUGUAAAGCUCUUUCUAGCCGGAACGAAACGGUUACGAUUAAUACUCGUAAUUAAU
Molecule: ribosomal RNA, 466 nt
Filed under: uncultured marine bacterium
Lineage: Bacteria
Description: bacterial SSU rRNA
Rfam family: Bacterial small subunit ribosomal RNA
Source: RNAcentral